AGUGAACGCUGGCGGCAGGCCUAAUACAUGCAAGUCGAACGGCAGCACAGCAGAGCUUGCUCUGUGGGUGGCGAGUGGCGGACGGGUGAGGAAUACGUGGGAAUCUGCCCAGUCGUGGGGGAUAACGUAGGGAAACUUACGCUAAUACCGCAUGCGCCCUUCGGGGGAAAGCCGGGGACCUUCGGGCCUGGCGCGAUUGGAUGAGCCCACGUCGGAUUAGCUAGUUGGCGGGUAAAGGCCCACCAAGGCGACGACCCGUAGCUGGUCUGAGAGGAUGAUCAGCCACACUGGAACUGAGACACGGUCCAGACUCCUACGGGAGGCAGCAGUAGGGAAUAUUGGACAAUGGGCGCAAGCCUGAUCCAGCCAUGCCGCGUGAGUGAAGAAGGCCCUCGGGUUGUAAAGCUCUUUUGUCCGGAAAGAAAAGCGCCGGGUUAAUACCCUGGUGUCCUGACGGUACCGGAAGAAUAAGCACCGGCUAACUUCGUGCCAGCAGCCGCGGUAAU
Molecule: ribosomal RNA, 506 nt
Filed under: uncultured bacterium
Lineage: Bacteria
Description: bacterial SSU rRNA
Rfam family: Bacterial small subunit ribosomal RNA
Source: RNAcentral